AGUGAACGCUGGCGGUAGGCCUAACACAUGCAAGUCGAACGGCAGCACAGUAAGAGCUUGCUCUUACGGGUGGCGAGUGGCGGACGGGUGAGGAAUACAUCGGAAUCUACUUUUUCGUGGGGGAUAACGUAGGGAAACUUACGCUAAUACCGCAUACGACCUACGGGUGAAAGCAGGGGAUCUUCGGACCUUGCGCGAUUGAAUGAGCCGAUGUCGGAUUAGCUAGUUGGCGGGGUAAAGGCCCACCAAGGCGACGAUCCGUAGCUGGUCUGAGAGGAUGAUCCGCCCCACUGGAGCUGAGCCACGGUCCAGACUCCUACGGGAGGCAGCAGUGGGGACUAUUGGACAAUGGGCGCAAGCCUGAUCCAGCCAUACCGCGUGGGUGAAGAAGGCCUUCGGGUUGUAAAGCCCUUUUGUUGGGAAAGAAAAGCAGCAGGUUAAUACCCCGCUGUUCUGACGGUACCCAAAGAAUAAGCACCGGCUAACUUCGU
RNAcentral lists this ribosomal RNA (491 nucleotides) under uncultured bacterium. RNAcentral's name for it is "partial 16S ribosomal RNA". It matches the Rfam family "Bacterial small subunit ribosomal RNA", at positions 29 to 506 of the family's 1533-position model. The record is from RNAcentral.